RNAcentral lists this non-coding RNA (28 nucleotides) under Bombyx mori (domestic silkworm). Lineage: Eukaryota; Metazoa; Arthropoda; Insecta; Lepidoptera; Bombycidae. The record is from RNAcentral.
UAGCGUUGACAAUGGAUACAUGCCUUUA